ACAAGGUAAAAGGGAGUUGGCUCGAGGAAGUAUCUCGGGCAACAAACUACUCGCAAAAGGGGCAUACUCCGUUAUAUGUUUUCCAUGGUGGUAACAAUGAUAUGGAGAGAAAGAAACCUAAUGCGAUUUCAGGGUGGCCAGUUCUAGAUUGAUAGAUUGACUCGAGAAAUAGAAAUUCACAUACAAAAGAGGGGGAAGAAUGAAGUGCUUUCCGUAGCUGAAUCAUAUGCCAUGAUGUUUUGCACAGUAGUAGUUAAUUGGUGUUUCUUUACUUAACUGCAUUAGCAAUAGUUUGAUUGUUUAUUUUGAGUUGUUAAUAUAGGUUGUAGAGAUAGCGAGAAACAGGUGUCCGGCUUUUUUAACUUUGUACCGUUUCACUUUUGGUAAUAGUAAAAUUUAUUUAUUUUUAAAAAAGGUUUGGUACUUCACUGCAACCAAAGAACCGUGAUCCUUACACCAAAGAGUCUGUGAAGGAGUUAAGUAAAUGUGUAGAUGUAUCUUGAAUUUAUACCCAAAUAAUUUAAUUAUUUUACCCAUGUGAUUAGUGUGUGAUUAGUGGUUAGUUAGUUACGUUUAGUGGUUAGAUGGUUACAUUCUGUUACAGUUAGUAAAGCACAUGAGCUAUCAUUUUGUACAUAUAGUCACAAGGUGCAACUUACCAACUAAUAAAAAGAAAGAUAUUUUUUCCCCUCAUAUGUUUGCAGUUUUCUUCCCUCCAAUCUGGAGAUUUCUCACAAACUUAACAUGGUAUCAAAGCUGUUUAAUUGAUGAUUUUGCACAUAAAUCUUCACACACAGUGAAGGAAUUGAGAUUUCUCAGUGUGAAUUUUGCAAUUUACGGUGCCUUUUUGUUUUCUUUUGUGCUUCUAUGUCUUUGCUUUCCCUAUGAUUUCGUUAAAAAUUUGCAUUGUAAGCUCAAGGAUUUGUGGAGCUUCAACCUACACUAGCAAUUUGAGGACUCUUUUUCACUCAAUUUGAAGGAUCAACAAUUUUCUUCUUCUACCUGAAAUGACAGCUACUGGAAAUGGAGUUGAGACCACCACAAGUGCCACCACUGUUAUUGAUCAUCAUCAUCCUUUGUACUUGCAUCCUUCAGAUGCACCAGGUUCUCUUUCUGUUGGAAUUAUGCUUACAGGUACUGAUAACUAUACCUUAUGGAGUCGAGCAAUGCAAUUGGCUCUUUUAGGUAAAAAUAAACUGGGUUUUGUCAAUGGAACAGUAAAGCGAGACCAUUAUACUGGUGAUUUAGCACAUUUAUGGGAUCGAUGUAUUGUUUCAUGGAUUAUGUGUAGUGUUAGUAAGGAUUUGGUGGGUGGAAUACUGUUUUGUUCUAAUUCUCAUCUCAUAUGGGAGGAUUUAAAAGAGAGAUUUAACAAAGUCAAUAGUUAUAGGACCUACCAAUUGCAUAAGGAGAUUUUCACUUUGGUUCAAGGUGUAUCCUCUGUUUCAGUAUACUAUUCUAAACUCAAGGAUCUGUGGGAUGAAUAUGACUCUAUCAUGCCUCCACCUUUAUGUAACUGUCCUAAGUCUAGAGAGUUCAUGGACCAUUUGCAGUAUCAACGUUUGUUACAAUUCCUUAUGGGUUUAAGUGAUCAACACAGUCAGGCUAGGAGCCAAAUUUUGUUGAUGCCACAAGUCCCCAAUAUUAAUCAAGCAUAUACCAUGAUUAAUCAGGAUGAGAGUCAUAAGAUUGUGGCUAGUAAAAGUAGAAUGUUACAGGAGAAUCUUAUCCCUACAGCCAUGUUUACCUCUACCAGAUCCAAAGGAAACUCACUCAAUUAAAAAAAACCUUACCUCCCUAAUGUAUUUUGUGACUACUGUCACAUGAAAGGGCAUCUCAAAGCUGAUUAUUUCAAAUUGAUGAAUUGUGAUCAUUGUCACAAGAAUGGACAUAUUAUAGAUAAUUAAUUUACUUUACAUAGUUAUCCAUCAAAUUUUAAAGGUAAAAAGGGGAAGAUUGUUGCUGAUAAUACUGUCUAUGAACAUGGUCAUGUUCAGUAGCAGGGCUCUGUGCAACAAUACUACAAUCAGGUCUCUCAAGAUCAUGUUCCUCAGACAUCUUUUCAUCAUGGAAUGCAACACUUACAGGAGAAACAUCUUAUGCCAACGUUCACACUUAAUCAACAUCAGCAACUUCUCAAGAUACUUGACAAAUCCAUUGCUGAAGAAUCUAAUGUCAGUGCCAAUCUGGCAGGUAACUGUUUCUUUGCUAGCAAAGAUUCUGUUGUGAAUUGGAUUGUAGAUACAGGGGCAACACAUCACACGAUAGGUAAUCCUGAUCUUUUACAAAGUGAAGGUUUAGUAGAAAAUGUAGGUCAAGUUCAAUUACCUACUGGGGAUUCUACCAAAUUAUCACAUAUUAGCAAUUGUCAUGUCGGAGGAGGCGAUGUUCUUAGACAAGUUCUAUGUGUUCCGACAUUCAAGUUUAACCUUAUGUCAGUUUCACAAGUGACUAAGGACUUAAACUAUUGUGUCACAUUUUAUCCUAAAUAUUGUGUGUUUCAGGAUCUCUCAUCUGGGAAGGUGAGGGUGAUUGGUAAAAAAGCAAAAGGCCUGUACAUACUGAACACUCCAAUAAAAGAGAAGCAUGCCAAGUCACACAAUUGUUUAGUAGCUAUACAUAAGACUGAUGCAGUUACUUGGCAUAAAAGAUUCUGUCAUGUUCCUAUGAGUGUGUUGAGAAAAAUUUCUACUUUCAAUACUCUUAGUUUGAAUAAUUGUGAGAUAUGCCCCCUUGCUAGACAAACGAGACUUCCUUUCUCACACAGUACUAGCAGUUCUUCUCAUCCAUUUCAGUUACUCCACCUAGAUAUAUGGGGACCUUAUAAGAUGGAAACUUUUGAUGGAAUGAGAUAUUUUUUUACUGUGGUUGAUGACUAUUCUAGAUGGACUUGGAUUUUUUUUAAUGAGUCUUAAAUCUAAUGUAAUUACAUUGUUGAAAUAUUUCCUUGUUGAAGUAGAAACACAUUUGGUAAGAAAGUACAAAAAGUCAGAUCAGACAACGGAACUGAAUUUUUUAAUUCUAAUUGCAAAGACCUUUUCUAGAAUCAUGGUAUUGUACAUGAGAGUUCUUGUCCAUACACACCACAACAGAAUGGUGUGGUGGAAAGAAAACAUCGACACAUACUUGAAAUUGCAAGGGCAAUUAAAUUUCAAGGAUGUUUUCCUGAUAAGUUGUGGGGCUUGUGCAUUCUGGGUGCAGUUUACAUUCUAAACAGAAUACCUUCUACUGUGUUGGCUAAUAAAUCCCUUUUUGAAAGGUUGUACGGUACCUCACCAUCCCUGAACCACCUGAGAGUGUUAGGUUGUUUAUGUUUUGCAACCAACCUCACCUGGAAGGACAAGUUCAGUCCUAGAGCUGUUCGAGCAGUUCUUGUGGGAUAUAGUGCUUAUCAAAAGGGAUACAGGUUGUAUGAUUUGGAAAAUAGGACUUUCUUCACUAGUAGAGAUGUUGUCUUUAUGGAACAUAUAUUUCCUUUUAAAGGCUUUGAUUCUGAGAGUGCAAGUACUCACAUGCCAAUACAUCAUUUUCAUUAUAAUGAUCUUGUGGCUGCUCCAACCUUGACAGUUUCCACUCCACCUUGUGUUCCUACCAAUCCUGGUGCUACUACUACAGAACAAAUAUAAAUACCUACAAUAUUGGAUAUAUCUUCACUUUCUGCUAAAUCCAUGAGCAUCCCUGAUAUUUCUACUUCCUCUCAGCCUACUCAAAGGUCAGCUAGAGAAUCUAGACCUCCUAUAUGGCAUAAAGACUAUGUCACUCAUCCUUUAUAUAAUAGAUGUCUAUACUCCAUCAGCACUGUCAUGAACUACAGUGGUUUAUCACCUACAUAUCAAAGCUUUCUAUCUAAAUUUUCUACUGAGGUUGAGCCUAGUUGUUAUGCAGAGGCAGCUAAUAAUCCUAGAUGGGUGCAAUCCAUGCAGUUAGAAAUCUAAGCAUUGGAGGAUAACAAGACCUGGGAGUUGGUGGACUUACCUGCAGGUAUAAAGGGUAUAGGUUAUAGGUGGUUUGUUCAAGAUCAAAUACCAAGAUGAUGGUAAAGUGGAAAGGCUAAGGCUAGAUUGGUAGCCAAAGGAUACAAUCAGAAGGAAGGUCUUGAUUAUCAAGAGACAUUUUCUCCUGUAGUUAAAAUGGAAACUAUAUGAACUGUCAUAUCUAUUAUAGCUGCACAACAAUGGUCAAUUCAUCAAAUGGACGUAUAUAAUGCAUUUCUAUAGGUUGAUCUCUAUGAAGAUGUUUAUAUGCAUCUACCAGAUGGUUUCAGUACUAGUGAAACCAAGAAACAAGUUUGCAGACUCUUGAAAUCGUUGUAUGGUUUAAAACAGGCUUCAAGACAAUGGAACAUUAAACUUACCACUGUUUUACUCUCUUCAGGUUUUUUCCAAAGUACUAGAGACUACUCUUUGUUUACUAGAAGAAAUGGUGAUAAGAUAGUGGUUGUCUUAAUAUAUGUUGAUGAUUUGUUGAUAACUGGGAAUGAUCCACUCAUAGUUCAGGAGACCAAAUAUACUUUUGCAGACUUUUUUUAAAAUCAAAGAUCUUAGAGAGCUUAGGUAUUUCCUUGGUUUGGAAUUUGCCAGGAACGCGGAUGGCAUCCUCAUUCACCAAAGGAAGUAUGCUCUUGAGCUUAUUGCAGAUAUGGGGUUAUUGGGUGCUAAUCCUAUUUUUACACCCAUGGAAUUGAACAAAAAGUUCAAUACUACUGAAUUUGAUCAAUACAUGCCAUCCACACAGGUUGAUCCUCCACUCACAGAACUAUGUGUGUUUCAACGACUUAUUGGAAGGUUGUUGUAUCUCACUACUACUAGACCAGACAUUACAUUUGGUGUCUAGUGCUUGAGUUAGUUUAUGCAUUCUCCUAAGCAAUCACACAUGGAGGAUACUUUAAGACUAGUUAGAUAUGUCAAGAAGGAACCAGGUUUAGGUAUAUUCAUGUCCUCAGCAGGAGGGUCUACUCUUAAUAUUUUUUGUGAUGCUAAUUGGGGAGCAUGUAUCAAUAGCAGGAAGUCUAUAACUGGUUACUUGAUUCAAUAUGGUUCAUAUCCAAUAUCUUGAAGGUCUAAGAAGCAGACGACAGUCUCUAGGAGUUCUGCUGAGGCUAAAUAUAAAGCAAUAGCCUCUACAACUGCUGAAUUAGUGUGGCUCACAGGUUUAUUUUAGGAUCUUGGUGUGGAUCUUACUCUUCCUCUCCCUCUUUAUUCUGAUAGUACAUCAGUAAUACAAAUUGCUGCUAAUCUUGUUUUCCAUGAAAGGACCAAACACAUAGACAUCGAUUGUCAUUUUAUACGAGAGAAGAUACAGGCUGGUCUACUUACUGCUCAACAUUUAUGCACUGCUGAUCAGCCUGCUGAUUUGUUUACCAAGGCUCUUGGGCAAGGUCCUCACUCACAUCUUUUGUCCAAUCUAGGCAUGAAGAACAUCUUCAUUGCUCCUAGCUUAAGGAGGGGUGAAGGAGUGAGCUUUGUAAUAUUACAGCAGAUGGGAUUAUCCCCUAUAUGAACCCCAUGUGAUUUAUUAUAUAAUAUUCUCAAGUGCUGCAGCCUGAAGGUUGUGGAUUUAGAGCUUUUCUACCAACACCCAGCUUACUUUCACUGUGUGGCUUUGAGGAUUACCUCUUCUGCAAUUAAUUGACAAGGAAGUCUCAGAAAAGAUUGAAAAACCUGUAUACUACUGGAUGAGUGAUAUUGCACGGGGCCUUUAAAUUCUGUUACCCUUACAUGAUUCUAGGAGCAUCAUUAACUUUAAGAAUGUCUCGAUUCUCAAUUUGUAUUUGUUGAGUAAUUAGGUCUAUUGCCUGUGAUGUCAUUUGUUUUUCACGUUCAGACUUUUUAUCAUCUUUUUGUCUCUCUACCAAAUUAUCAAAACUUCUCUCACUUUUUCUUUA
Molecule: long non-coding RNA, 5884 nt
Organism: Capsicum annuum
Lineage: Eukaryota; Viridiplantae; Streptophyta; Magnoliopsida; Solanales; Solanaceae
Exons: 3
Source: RefSeq, a predicted model, not a curated record